Molecule: ribosomal RNA, 496 nt
Filed under: uncultured bacterium
Lineage: Bacteria
Description: partial 16S ribosomal RNA
Rfam family: Bacterial small subunit ribosomal RNA
Source: RNAcentral
GGGGGGGGGGGGGGGGGGGGGGGGGGGGUGGGGGGGGGGGGGGGGGGCGGGAAGGGUGCUGCUCGGCUGUGAGCGGCGGACGGGUGGGUAACACGUGGAUCACGUCCCUAUGAGGCUGGGGUAACUUCGGGAAACCGGCGCUCAUACCGGCCAAUAUUUUGAACCGCCUGGUCCGGGAGUGACAAACGGUCUUGCUGUCCCCUCUAGGCUGCUCCGCGCUGCCUUAGCUACGUGGUAAGGUACCGGCUUACCAAGUCAACGAUGCCACGCCGACCUGAGAGGGGGAUCGGCCACACUGGAACGGAGACACGGGCCAGACUCCUACGGGAGGCAGCAGUAGGGAAUCUUCCGCAAUGGGCGAAAGCCUGACGGAGCAACGCCGCGUGAGUGAUGAAGGUCUUCGGAUCGUAAAACGCUGUUAUUAGGGAAGAACAUAGGUGUAAGUAACUGUGCACAUCUUGACGGGACCUAAUCAGAAAGCAACGGCUAACUACGU